GGACGGGUGGCGCAAUGGCAGCGCUUAUGUUUCCGGCUCCCCUUUCAUGGGGAUAUCAGUUACAUAGGGUUGCGGGUUCGAGUCCUGUCCCGUCCG
RNAcentral lists this transfer RNA (96 nucleotides) under Colletotrichum chlorophyti. It matches the Rfam family "tRNA". Rfam says of the family: Transfer RNA (tRNA) molecules are approximately 80 nucleotides in length. The record is from Rfam by way of RNAcentral. Lineage: Eukaryota; Fungi; Ascomycota; Sordariomycetes; Glomerellales; Glomerellaceae.